CCUACGGGUGGCAGCAGUGGGGGAUAUUGCACAAUGGGGGAAACCCUGAUGCAGCGACGCCGCGUGGGUGAAGAAGUAUUUCGGUAUGUAAAGCCCUAUCAGCAGGGAAGAAAGAAGACGGUACCUGACUAAGAAGCCCCGGCUAACUACGUGCCAGCAGCCGCGGUAAUACGUAGGGGGCGAGCGUUAUCCGGAUUCACUGGGUGUAAAGGGAGCGUAGACGGCCGUGCAAGCCAGGAGUGAAAGCCCGGGGCCCAACCCCGGGACUGCUCUUGGAACUGUGCGGCUGGAGUGCGGGAGGGGCAGGCGGAAGUCCUGGUGUAGCGGUGAAAUGCGUAGAUAUCAGGAGGAACACCGGCGGCGAAGGCGGCCUGCUGGACCGCGACUGACGUUGAGGCUCGAAAGCGUGGGGAGCGAACAGGAUUAGAUACCCCUGUAGUC
RNAcentral lists this ribosomal RNA (441 nucleotides) under uncultured bacterium. Its description in RNAcentral is "partial 16S ribosomal RNA". It matches the Rfam family "Bacterial small subunit ribosomal RNA", at positions 338 to 795 of the family's 1533-position model. The record is from RNAcentral.